AUGAACGCUAGCUACAGGCUAACACAUGCAAGUCGAGGGGCAGCAGGGCAAUAGCUUGCUAUUGCUGCUGGCGACCGGCGCACGGGUGAGUAACGCGUAUCCAACCUACCCCGCGGUCAGGGACAGCCCGGCGAAAGUCGGAUUAAUACCUGAUGCAGUCAGAAGAGGGCAUCUGAUUUUGACGAAAGAUUGAUCGCCUCGGGAUGGGGAUGCGUAGGAUUAGGCAGGCGGCGGGGUAACGGCCACCGCGCCGACGAUCCUUAGGGUUCUGAGAGGAAGGUCCCCCACACUGGUACUGAGACACGGACCAGACUCCUACGGGAGGCAGCAGUGAGGAAUAUUGGUCAAUGGGCGCGAGCCUGAACCAGCCAAGUAGCCGUGCAGGACGACGGCCCUAUGGGUUGUAAACUGCUUUUAUGCGGGGAUAAAGUGCGGCACGUGUGCCGUUUUGUAGGUACCGCAUGAAUAAGGACCGGCUAAUUCCGUGCCAGCAGCCGC
This 498-nucleotide ribosomal RNA is filed under the name uncultured bacterium. Its description in RNAcentral is "bacterial SSU rRNA". It matches the Rfam family "Bacterial small subunit ribosomal RNA", at positions 29 to 518 of the family's 1533-position model. The record is from RNAcentral.